This is a long non-coding RNA of Mya arenaria, 388 nucleotides long. RefSeq lists it as uncharacterized. The transcript is spliced from 3 exons. NCBI's taxonomy places the organism in Eukaryota, Metazoa, Mollusca, Bivalvia, Myida, Myidae. The record is from RefSeq and is a predicted model, not a curated record.
GAUGGAGUGUGUGGGGUUCCUGUAGUGUCACAUGUGGUGUUGGUCUGAGGAGAAGGGACCGUUACUGCGAUAGCCCGUACCCUUCUAAGGACGGUAAUCACUGCUUCAGAGACGGAAUCAACUAUGAUAUCUGCACUGGACCAUCCUGUUCAGUGCAUGGCGGUUGGGGCGGAUGGAGUGCAUGGGGUCAUGCAGUGUCACAUGCGGUGUUGGUCUGAGGAAGAGGGAUCGCAACUGCGACAGCCCAUACCCCGCCAUAGAUGGUAACUACUGUAUCGGAGACGGAAUCAACCAUGAUAUCUGCGCAGGACCAUCUUGUUCAGCUUGGGGUACCUGGAAUUCUUGGAGCUCCUGUUCCAACACAUGUGGACAGGGUCUCAUGCAGCGU